Long non-coding RNA from Danio aesculapii, 216 nucleotides. RefSeq lists it as uncharacterized. The transcript is spliced from 3 exons. The record is from RefSeq and is a predicted model, not a curated record. Lineage: Eukaryota; Metazoa; Chordata; Actinopteri; Cypriniformes; Danionidae.
GUCGCUAUUUAAAUCUUUUUUUCAGCAACUGUUACUGUCAUCCCGACGACCUCUAGACAUGCAAAUUCCACUGCAAAAGCUUCACCCACAGACCCCAAACCAAGUGAGAAAAGUUCCUCAACGAUCCCCCCACAUGAUACAGCUACAUGGCUGAUACCACUGAUUUCCACUGGUGUUGGUGUCAUUUUAUGUGGAUUCUUCAGUCUGUGCUGGUUU